Molecule: non-coding RNA, 209 nt
Filed under: Lachnospiraceae bacterium
Lineage: Bacteria; Bacillati; Bacillota; Clostridia; Lachnospirales; Lachnospiraceae
Description: 6S RNA
Rfam family: 6S / SsrS RNA
About the family: E. coli 6S RNA was the first non coding RNA to be sequenced, but its function was unknown until recently. It consists of 184 nucleotides that fold into an extended hairpin structure with a large single-stranded internal bulge. The 6S RNA specifically associates with RNA polymerase holoenzyme containing the sigma70 specificity factor.
Source: RNAcentral
CAAAACCUGGAAUGUUCGAUAACUCCUGUAUUUUUGAACCUACAUUACUUUAAACGGGAUUCCUAUAUCUGUAUGUAGAUGUCGGGCCGUCACUGCACAUUGUGUAUUGAAUGGUUUCAUUUACAACGGAAGGCUGAAGCAUACAUGCGGUUGCCCACCUAGCUUUAGCUAGGAGUCAAAGAUUCAGGAACCGGCAUUUUGGGGAUUUA